AAGUCGUAACAAGGUAACCGUAGGUGAACCUGCGGUUGGAUCAUUACUGAAUUUGUGCUGCUGGCUGGGAACGGGCAACCAAGUACCGCCUGGAGCAAAUUUACACCUGUGCACUUGAAUGUCUUUUGGGAGCUUUUCGGGGCUCCCAGCAUUGAUAAACACCUAUUGACCACGUCUGAACAUUUAUUUAAAUAUAAACAACUUUUGACAACGGAUCUCUAGGCUCUCG
RNAcentral lists this unclassified non-coding RNA (229 nucleotides) under Boothiomyces macroporosus. RNAcentral describes it as "Boothiomyces macroporosum partial internal transcribed spacer region". The stretch from base 1 to 46 matches the Rfam family "Eukaryotic small subunit ribosomal RNA", at positions 1786 to 1831 of the family's 1831-position model. Lineage: Eukaryota; Fungi; Chytridiomycota; Chytridiomycetes; Rhizophydiales; Terramycetaceae. The record is from RNAcentral.